This 464-nucleotide ribosomal RNA is filed under the name Vreelandella stevensii. Its description in RNAcentral is "partial 16S ribosomal RNA". It matches the Rfam family "Bacterial small subunit ribosomal RNA", at positions 338 to 795 of the family's 1533-position model. The record is from RNAcentral. Lineage: Bacteria; Pseudomonadati; Pseudomonadota; Gammaproteobacteria; Oceanospirillales; Halomonadaceae.
CCUACGGGCGGCUGCAGUGGGGAAUAUUGGACAAUGGGCGAAAGCCUGAUCCAGCCAUGCCGCGUGUGUGAAGAAGGCCUUCGGGUUGUAAAGCACUUUCAGUGGGGAAGAAAGCCUUGGGGCUAAUACCCUCGAGGAAGGACAUCACCCACAGAAGAAGCACCGGCUAACUCCGUGCCAGCAGCCGCGGUAAUACGGAGGGUGCGAGCGUUAAUCGGAAUUACUGGGCGUAAAGCGCGCGUAGGCGGUCUGAUAAGCCGGUUGUGAAAGCCCCGGGCUCAACCUGGGAACGGCAUCCGGAACUGUCAGGCUAGAGUGCAGGAGAGGAAGGUAGAAUUCCCGGUGUAGCGGUGAAAUGCGUAGAGAUCGGGAGGAAUACCAGUGGCGAAGGCGGCCUUCUGGACUGACACUGACGCUGAGGUGCGAAAGCGUGGGUAGCAAACAGGAUUAGAUACCCUGGAGUC